Molecule: long non-coding RNA, 399 nt
Organism: Carassius carassius (crucian carp)
Lineage: Eukaryota; Metazoa; Chordata; Actinopteri; Cypriniformes; Cyprinidae
Exons: 3
Source: RefSeq, a predicted model, not a curated record
AUCACGCGAUAAACAUUUCCGCCAUUUUAUUUUACACGAGGCAGCUGUUGGAGAGCAACGGGUGAGCAACAGUCUGAGUGAAAACCUUCACAUUUCUACUUCGAUCUUAGGAAAGCCAUACAGGUUUGGAACCAAGUGAAAACGCAGUGAUGACCAGCUUUCCAUCAGCUACGGAAUGUGAAAUAAAAAAUGCUAUUUCUAAUCAUUUCAAACAAGCACCAGGGUGGGCAGGGGGUGGGGGUUAUGGAUCUAAAGUAAACAGUUAAUUCUUAAAAAUUUUAAUAUCUUAAUUUGUUUUACAUAUUUUUCCAAUGUUUUAUUUGUUCAUUUUUAUGUUUGAAUGUUGUCCAAGUUGUUGUUGUCUAUAUAAUUGUUCAAAAUAAAUCCCUUUAUAUUCAA